Molecule: ribosomal RNA, 495 nt
Filed under: uncultured bacterium
Lineage: Bacteria
Description: partial 16S ribosomal RNA
Rfam family: Bacterial small subunit ribosomal RNA
Source: RNAcentral
GAUGAACGCUGGCGGCGUGCCUAAUACAUGCAAGUCGAGCGAACAGACGAGGAGCUUGCUCCUCUGACGUUAGCGGCGGACGGGUGAGUAACACGUGGAUAACCUACCUAUAAGACUGGGAUAACUUCGGGAAACCGGAGCUAAUACCGGAUAAUAUAUUGAACCGCAUGGUUCAAUAGUGAAAGACGGUUUUGCUGUCACUUAUAGAUGGAUCCGCGCCGCAUUAGCUAGUUGGUAAGGUAACGGCUUACCAAGGCAACGAUGCGUAGCCGACCUGAGAGGGUGAGCGCCCACACGAAAAGAGAGACACGCGCCAGACUUCUACGGGGGGCAACAGUAGAGAAUCUUCCGAAGGGGGCGAAAGCUACGCGGAGCAGCGCCGCGUGAGUGAAAAAUGUCUGCGGCUCAUAAAACUCUGUUAUGGGAGAAAAACAUGUGUAUAAGUAACUAUGCACGUCGUGGCGGUACCAAAACAGAGAGCCGGCUCUCUCUACG